This 497-nucleotide ribosomal RNA is filed under the name uncultured bacterium. RNAcentral describes it as "partial 16S ribosomal RNA". It matches the Rfam family "Bacterial small subunit ribosomal RNA", at positions 28 to 507 of the family's 1533-position model. The record is from RNAcentral.
GAUGAACGCUGGCGGCGUGCCUAAUACAUGCCAGUCGAGCGAACGGACGAGAAGCUUGCUUCUCUGAUGUUAGCGGCGGACGGGUGAGUAACACGUGGAUAACCUACCUAUAAGACUGGGAUAACUUCGGGAAACCGUAGCUAAUACCGGAUAAUAUUUUGAACCGCAUGGUUCAAAAGUGAAAGACGGUCUUGCUGUCACUUAUAGAUGGAUCCGCGCUGCAUUAGCUAGUUGGUGAGGUAACGGCUUACCAAGACAACGAUGCAUAGCCGACCUGAGAGGGUGAUCGGCCACACUGGAACUGAGACACGGUCCAGACUCCUACGGGAGGCAGCAGUAGGGAAUCUUCCGCAAUGGGCGAAAGCCUGACGGAGCAACGCCGCGUGAGUGAUGAAGGUCUUCGGAUCGUAAAACUCUGCUAUUAGGGAAGAACAUAUGUGUAAGUAACUGUGCACAUCUUGACGGUACCUAAUCAGAAAGCCACGGCUAACUACGUG